RNAcentral lists this ribosomal RNA (506 nucleotides) under uncultured bacterium. RNAcentral describes it as "partial 16S ribosomal RNA". It matches the Rfam family "Bacterial small subunit ribosomal RNA", at positions 30 to 523 of the family's 1533-position model. The record is from RNAcentral.
AUUGAACGCUGGCGGCAGGCCUAACACAUGCAAGUCGAACGGUAACAGGAAUCAGCUUGCUGAUUUGCUGACGAGUGGCGGACGGGUGAGUAAUGUCUGGGAAACUGCCUGAUGGAGGGGGAUAACUACUGGAAACGGUAGCUAAUACCGCAUAACGUCGCAAGACCAAAGAGGGGGACCUUCGGGCCUCUUGCCAUCUGAUGUGCCCAGAUGGGAUUAGCUAGUAGGUGGGGUAACGGCGCACCUAGGCGACGAGCCCUAGCUGGUCUGCGAGGAUGACCAGCCACACUGGAACUGAGACACGGUCCAGACUCCUACGGGAGGCAGCAGUGGGGAAUAUUGCACAAUGGGCGCAAGCCUGAUGCAGCCAUGCCGCGUGUAUGAAGAAGGCCUUCGGGUUGUAAAGUACUUUCAGCGGGGAGGAAGGGGGUAAAGUUAAUACCUUUGCUCAUUGACGUUACCCGCAGAAGAAGCACCGGCUAACUCCGUGCCAGCCGCCGCGGUAA